Long non-coding RNA from Hyla sarda, 550 nucleotides. RefSeq lists it as uncharacterized. The record is from RefSeq and is a predicted model, not a curated record. NCBI's taxonomy places the organism in Eukaryota, Metazoa, Chordata, Amphibia, Anura, Hylidae. The transcript is spliced from 3 exons.
GGAAAUGCGUGGUCACUAUUCAAUGGUAAAGGCUGGUCACCACUGUUGCCAGUGAUUGGUUUAGCAGGCAUUUCCUAGCUCAGUUCCAAAACAGCAUCAAGGGACGCACAGCAAGCUGGAAAAGCUCCGAGACAACACUCAUUGUAGGAUGCCGAAGAUGAACUUUCUGGGGAAAAAAGACAAAGAAAUUCCAUACCAGCGACCAAAGGUUCUCCACUGGCAAGCUUAUCAAAAAGGGGCUGCUUCUAGAACACUCCACAAUCAGCUAUUACCAGCAGAUGUAGUGGCCAUAUCCUUAUUUCCUCAGCAGCAUCAUUGCAAAAACAAAGUGUUAAACAUCACCUACUGAAUUCCCUGAGCUGUCCCUUAAGGCCCAGGCUUUCUUAAGUAGGCUAAAUAAAGGGACUUCAUAAUGGAAGAAUCCCCAACAAACAGACAUCUGGAUUAUCAAGGUGCAUUGUGUACAUACAGAAAUUCACACAUGGCAUGGAGAUUUGACUUUCCCUUGGAUUAGAUUAGAUAAUCUACAAAUGAAAAGAACAGUAAACAA